CCACAUAUAGCUCAUUUGGCAGAGCAACUGUCCUGAAAACAGUAGGUAGCGGGUUCAAAUCCCGCUAUGUAAU
RNAcentral lists this transfer RNA (73 nucleotides) under Mycobacteroides chelonae. RNAcentral describes it as "(Mycobacterium chelonae corrig. Bergey et al. 1923 (Approved Lists 1980) emend. Kim et al. 2017) tRNA-Ser". It matches the Rfam family "tRNA". From Rfam's summary of the family: Transfer RNA (tRNA) molecules are approximately 80 nucleotides in length. Their secondary structure includes four short double-helical elements and three loops (D, anti-codon, and T loops). Further hydrogen bonds mediate the characteristic L-shaped molecular structure. tRNAs have two regions of fundamental functional importance: the anti-codon, which is responsible for specific mRNA codon recognition, and the 3' end, to which the tRNAs corresponding amino acid is attached (by aminoacyl-tRNA synthetases). tRNAs cope with the degeneracy of the genetic code in two manners: having more than one tRNA (with a specific anti-codon) for a particular amino acid; and 'wobble' base-pairing, i.e. permitting non-standard base-pairing at the 3rd anti-codon position. The record is from RNAcentral. Lineage: Bacteria; Bacillati; Actinomycetota; Actinomycetes; Mycobacteriales; Mycobacteriaceae.